Molecule: transfer RNA, 75 nt
Filed under: Bacillota bacterium
Lineage: Bacteria; Bacillati; Bacillota
Also listed under: 2 other names
Description: tRNA-Thr
Rfam family: tRNA
About the family: Transfer RNA (tRNA) molecules are approximately 80 nucleotides in length. Their secondary structure includes four short double-helical elements and three loops (D, anti-codon, and T loops).
Source: RNAcentral
GCUGAUGUGGCUCAGGGGUAGAGCAGCGCACUCGUAAUGCGCAGGUCGUCGGUUCGAAUCCGACCAUCAGCUCCA